Molecule: ribosomal RNA, 439 nt
Filed under: uncultured bacterium
Lineage: Bacteria
Description: partial 16S ribosomal RNA
Rfam family: Bacterial small subunit ribosomal RNA
Source: RNAcentral
CUACGGGUCGCAGCAAUGGGGAAUUUUGCGCAAUGGGGGAAACCCUGACGCAGCAAUACCGCGUGAGUGAAGAAGGCCUUUGGGUCGUAAAGCUCUUUUCUUGGGGAAGAUAGUGACGGUACCCAAGGAAUAAGCACCGGCUAACUCCGUGCCAGCAGCCGCGGUAAUACGGAGGGUGCAAGCGUUGUUCGGAUUUACUGGGCGUAAAGGGCACGUAGGCGGCACAGCAAGUUAAGGGUGAAAUCCCGGGGCUCAACUCCGGAACUGCUCUUAAAACUGCUGAGCUAGAGAUAGUCAGAGGCGGGUGGAAUUCCAGGUGUAGAGGUGAAAUUCGUAGAUAUCUGGAGGAACACCGGUGGCGAAGGCGGCCCGCUGGGGCUAUUCUGACGCUAAGGUGCGAAAGCGUGGGGAGCAAACGGGAUUAGAUACCCGCGUAGUC